RNAcentral lists this unclassified non-coding RNA (2041 nucleotides) under Hevea brasiliensis (rubber tree). The record is from RNAcentral. Lineage: Eukaryota; Viridiplantae; Streptophyta; Magnoliopsida; Malpighiales; Euphorbiaceae.
GCAAUUCUAAUGCAAAUCGCAGGUAUGAAUAUCACUAAGUGUAACUAAGUUUUAAUGUUUACUGAAACCAUUACAUAAUUAUAAACUCUUUGGAACAAAUAGAGCACGGUUCAAAUAACUGAAAAAUGAAACCAAAAAUAUAAAAAUCAAGCUGCCAAGCUCUUCGAUGCGAUUUCAAACACAUUCUCUGAGAGUCCCUCAGUAGACAAGAUCAUCUCCAAUUGUUCCUUCGCGAGACUCUGUCUUGUUUCAUCAUAACGUUUCCACCUGGAGAACGCUGAAACCAUUCGUGAAGCCACCUGUGGAUUCAUCUUGUCAAGCUUCACCACUAGUUCUCCCAAGAACUUGUAGCCGGAGCCAUCCUUGCUAUGGAAGUUGACAGGUGAACCACAAAAUCCUCCGAUCAACGAAUAAACCUGUGCAUUUGUCCAAAAUAAAACAUCAUGUCUUGUAAUUGACAUAAACUAGAAAGCUAUAGGUUGCUAAUGUUUCCGUACCCAGGUCAGAUCCUCCAAAAGUGCGCCCCUUUUGGAGGAUCCGGCACAUCCACUGGCUUUUUUGAAGAGUACGAAAGACAUCAAACUCGAAAAAACAUACCUUAUUUGGAUUACAUAGGUCAAAGGCUGUAUGGUUUAGAAGUUUCUUGACAUUCUCAACAUUACCAGGCAUGUCUGACAUAGCUUGAAGAGCAAGCCACUUGUUCACAACCAAGUAAUCAUCCUGCCACUUGUUAUAGAAAUCAGCCAAAAUUUCUUCACGAAUUGCAGGUUGCUGAUCGAUAGCCACUAAAGCUGCAAACUGAUCUGUCAUGUUUGUGGCGUUUCUGUAUUCAUUCAAUAGAAGUUCUGUGAUUUCUGGGUUUUCAAGUGAUCCAAGAUAAGCAAGAGCAAUAUUUUUAAGAGCACGACGUGCCAUAUUGUUAUGAUCAAACUCAUAAGCACCAGAGCUCCUGUUGUUUUUAGCAGUGAUAAGGAACUCUUGUUUCAAUUCAGAAGCCAGUUGCUUCCUGAUGAAAGUCCGCACUGCAUGAACGGCAUCUGGAUCAGCAACCGUCAUCAUGUCCAUGAUUUCUCCUAUACCAGGCAAAGUUAUUGCCUUUGCAAUGAAUUCCUUAUCCAAGCUUGAGUCGGUGAGUAUGCUUUUGAUCCCCUGCAAAAACUGAGGGUUAAGAACCAAAGCCUUAUUCUGUUGGAAAUCAGCUACCAGACUGAGCAUCAACUUCCUUGCCAACACUUGUCCCGCCUCCCACCGGUUAAACUCAUCAGAAUCAUGAGCAAGAAGGAAAAGAAGAUCACUAUCAGUGAGAUCAGACUCAAGCCUGAUGGGAGCACUGAAUCCUCGCAAUAUCGAUGGUGUUGGCCUCUCAGAUACGUCAUUGAACACAAAUUCCUCCUCCUUCUUCGUUACGCGGAGAACUGUGGUGUAUACGUUUUGACCACUGCUCGCAAAACUCUCCAAUUUCCCAUCAUGAUGAACCGAAGAUAGAGGCAUGUCCUUACCACUUGAAUCCAGCAGACCUACAGCAACAGGAAUAAACAUAGGUUCUUUUGCAGACUGGCCGGGGGUUGGAGGCACCUCUUGACUAAACUUGAGGGAGAAAGUGCGCCCUUCAGCAUUAUAAUUUGUGGUAACCUUCACUACAGGUGUCCCAGCUUGCGAGUACCAUAACAAGAAAUUAGCAAAAUCUGCAUUGUUGGCAUCUCGCAUGGCAGCAAAAAAGUCUUCACAUGUUACUGCUUGACCAUCAUGCCUCUCAAAAUAUAAAUCUGUGCCUUUUCUAAAUCCUUGGCUACCUAACAAGGUUUUGUACAUCCUGACCACUUCAGCUCCCUUCUCAUAUACCGUAACUGUGUAGAAGUUAUCCAUCUUUAUAUAAGAGUGAGGCCUUACAGGAUGAGCCAUUGGACCAGCAUCCUGCGGGAACUGAUACAUUCGAAGCUUUGAGACAUCAGCAAUUCUUUUCACAGGACGGCUGCCCAAAUCAGACGAAAACUCCUGAUCACGGAAAACAGUAAGUCCUUCCUUUAAACUGAGCUGGAAC